GGUGAAGAACGCAGCGAAAUGCGAUACGUAAUGUGAAUUGCAGAAUUCAGUGAAUCAUCGAAUCUUUGAACGCACAUUGCACUCUCUGGUAUUCCGGAGAGUAUGCUUGUUUGAGUAUCUGUAAACAUCUCAGAUCUCUCUUCAAUUGCUUCAAUUGGGUCGAGAGAAUUGGAUUUGAGCGAUCCCGACUCCUUCGUCAGAAAGAGGAGGGUCGCUUGAAAUGCAGGUGCAGCUGGACAUUCUUCUGAGCAAAAAGCAUAUCUAUUUAGUCCCGUCAAACGGAUUAUUACUUUUGCUUCAGCUAAUACAAAGGUUGAAUGAACUACCAACGCUGAUUGCAGGAAAACAUGUUCGUUUAUUCGGACUUGUAAACUCGAUCUCAAAUCAAGUAAGACUACCCGCUGAACUUAAGCAUAUCAAUAAGCGGAGGA
This 431-nucleotide unclassified non-coding RNA is filed under the name soil metagenome. Its description in RNAcentral is "partial contains 5.8S ribosomal RNA, internal transcribed spacer 2, and large subunit ribosomal RNA". The stretch from base 3 to 120 matches the Rfam family "5.8S ribosomal RNA", at positions 37 to 154 of the family's 154-position model. The record is from RNAcentral.